GGAUAACUUCGGGAAACCGGAGCUAAUACCGGAUAAUAUUUUGAACCGCAUGGUUCAAAAGUGAAAGACGGUCUUGCUGUCACUUAUAGAUGGAUCCGCGCUGCAUUAGCUAGUUGGUAAGGUAACGGCUUACCAAGGCAACGAUGCGUAGCCGACCUGAGAGGGUGAUCGGCCACACUGGAACUGAGACACGGUCCAG
This 199-nucleotide ribosomal RNA is filed under the name uncultured Staphylococcus sp. Its description in RNAcentral is "partial 16S ribosomal RNA". It matches the Rfam family "Bacterial small subunit ribosomal RNA", at positions 141 to 334 of the family's 1533-position model. The record is from RNAcentral. Lineage: Bacteria; Bacillati; Bacillota; Bacilli; Caryophanales; Staphylococcaceae.